Molecule: long non-coding RNA, 2945 nt
Filed under: Triticum aestivum (bread wheat)
Lineage: Eukaryota; Viridiplantae; Streptophyta; Magnoliopsida; Poales; Poaceae
Description: long non-coding RNA (TAES_LNC020143)
Source: RNAcentral
CUGGAGACGAGCAAGAAGGAACAACAACAUCUUCAAUUCUUCACCCGCUUAGGCAAUUGGGGAAAUCCCAGAAAAAUCAACAAGUCAGGAACAAAAAAACUACUGCUACCCCCUAGCACUUCAAUUCUUCAGCCCCUUCACCUCUCUUAAAAGGAAAUCUGCAAAAACAAAAUGUGUCGCAGAAACUAGAUACAGGUUAAGAAACAAUCAGUAGACAAAAACUAGAUACUCUGGAAAUAAUUCAUCACUAGCAGUAGGCAGAACUUGGAUAAUUUUAUAAUUUACACUGCAAGAACACGUAGUGCCUGAUUGAGUCUAGAAAGAACAGUAGCACACCAAGAAUUACAGUGGAAAAUCCCCUAGUAAUUACACUAAAAACUGACUAAACAGACCAAGAAUUACAGUGCAAAAAUCCCCUAGUAAUUACAUAGUAAUUCCCAGUGCAAAUUGCAUAGAAAUUACAGUGGAAAUUGCAGAAAUUACAGUGAAAAUUGCAUGGAAAUUUCAGUGGAAAAUGCCAUAGAAAUUUCAGUGUAUGAAUGUUAAAAUGCAUCAAAACUUAGACUGGAACAAACCUACUGUAUUUACACUGUUAAAAUACUACUGCAAAUUGUACUGUUACUCACACUGUUAAGCUUACCCAUUAAACUGAACCUAUAAAUCACAAUGCUAAAAGCAUGAAUAUUACACUGUAAAUUAGGGCAAAGAUUACACUGUAAAAUACAUAUAAUAAGCAACACGGUAAAACUAGGGGUACACUGUAAAAAUUCAGAAUAAAGACUAGGGGUACAGUGAAAAUUAGCAUGACAGAUUACAUAACUGAAUCAAUGUAAAUACAUUGCAAAAAUCUGGGAAUAUACAUUGUAGCUACAAUGUAAACCAUCGUAAUUCUAGGGGAAAUUACACUGGAAUCAGUAAAUUGUGUAAAUUACACUGAAAACUAAGGACAAGAUACACUGAACUAUAUGAUGAAUUACACAGUGGUUAUUGGGCAAAAAUACAAUUUAAUUCUAGGGUGAAUUACACUGAAGCUACAAAACAGUAAUUCUGCUUUGAAUUACACAGUAAAACUACGGCAUGAAUUACACUGAAACUGCAUAAUGAAUUACAUAGUAAAAUACAGCAUGAAUUACAAAGUAAUUCUACAUUGAAUUACACUGGAGCUGCAUGAUGAAUUACACAAUAAUUCUAUAGUAAAUUACAAUGUAACUACAUGAUGAAUUACACAGUAAAAAUGGGGCAAACAUACACAGUAAAUACUAGUAAUUAUGUGAAGAAACACUGAAACUAUGGGCUGACUUACACAGAAACUACCAUGUAAUUUGCAUAGUAAGUCUGAAGAUUACACAAUAAGUCUGAGGCAAAAAUAUACAGUAAAAAUACUAGUAAUUACAGAGUGAAAAACAGGACCUCGCUCAAUACUACUGCCACAGAGACACACUUGCACAUGAAAAAAAGAAAUAAAUGCAAGAAACUACAUGAAGUACAGAGCUAAAAGCAUGGAAAUCACUGUAAAAAAUGAGAGGUCAAUCAUCUGACAUAUACUGUGUAAGACCUACAAAUUUACAGUACUGAAGCAUACAAAUUACAGUGUAAAUCUGCAGUAUAUUACAGUAUAAGCCCUACAUCAAUUCAGAGGUAAAAUCCACUAUACUCAGUCCAAAAAUUACUGUGUAAAUCAUACAACAUUUACAGUGCUGAAGCAUACAAAUUACAGUGUAAAUCUGCGGUAUAUUACAGUGUAAGCCCUACAGCAAUUCAGUGAUGAAGCAUAGAAAUUACACUGUAAUAUACAGUUUUGAAGCAUAUAAAUUGCAGUGUAAAUCUGGGGUAGAUACAGUGAUGAAGCAUAGAAAUUACACUGUAAUUAUGAGGUAUACUACAGUUGGUAAAUUACAGUGCAAAUAUUAGGCAUAUUACAAUGGAAUCAUGUCCUAUAUUAUAGUGUAAAUCACAGUUAAAUUCCACUAUAGUUCGUGGAAAAUAAGAUGCAUGACAAUUAGCAUAAACAGAAACAUUUCAAUGGCAUCAGACUACUACUGGGAUGAUCUACUGGAAUAAACAGAAACUAGAUUUGCAAUUUGCACACUAAAACUAUGUGGAUUACACAGUAAGACUCAGGCAAAAAUACACAUCAACGGCACAAAGGAAAAGAUACAAACCUGCAUCACACACACACAAUUACCAUGGCAUUAAGAAGAAGGAACCUAAGUACAUCUAAACCAACACUAAGAGCGAUUUAUCCACUCACAUGAUAAAAGGGACCUGCAACAGCGGGCACAGGAGGAACCCUAGAAACCAACACAGCCAGAGGAGGCAACACCCAUCUACCAGUGAACAAACAAACCACCUACCAAUGCAAAUCACAAACCCAAAACCACAAAAACUCCCAUCUCAAAACCCUAUAACUGAUCCAUACAUCUAUCUGAAUCACAAAAACUGAACACGUUGAACCUACCACGAGUAGACGAGGAACAAAAUGGCGGACAACACGAAGCAGAUGAUGAACGACAGCGGGACGACGCGAACCAGAACGAACCACUAAAACUACAAGCACCUACCAUGAAUCUACAACAACACGGCCCCGGAUCACAACACACACCUACCACGAACCCUAUCAAAAUCACAUCAGCAACUGACCCCUAGAUAUGGAAGCUACACACUGAGAAAUGAACAAAAUCACGCGCUCGAGAGAGAAAUUGAGAGACCAACCAACCGCAGGAGGCGAUAAAUCGAAGAGAAAUGAGAAAGAAAUCAAGCUCCACAGGUGGGGGGGGGUCUGGGAAUCGACAUGAACAGAAAGGAAUCGCCUCCGUCGCCCGAGCGCCCGUUCCUCCCUCUUCCUCCCUAUCUCCUCUCUCCCUUAUCGCUACAGUGCCACUCAAAUGAAAGGGGAAAACCACGCCCAAAAUUCAAUAAGGACAAAAACCGGAAGAGGCAGAGAG